UAUCUCCCAACAAAAAUAUCUAAGGAACUUAUUCAAGCAACCAAGCCACAUGAUAAAAGAGUGUUUAGGGACUGCCCCUGAAAACCAGACUGACUUGCUUGUGCCAAGAGACAUCUGGUUUUGUAGUCCUGAUCUUAUUCCAAGUAUCAGAGAAGGACAUAAGAGGAGCUCAAUGUUUUGGCUUCAAGCACCUCCAAAUAUCCAACCAUCCCCUGAUCUUUCUUGAGCUACUUUCGAUUUCAAAGGACGACCAAGUAGCCUAUGAGCUUCUGCUCCUAAGAACGUGUGC
Arabidopsis thaliana (thale cress) is the source of this 289-nucleotide long non-coding RNA. RefSeq annotates it as other RNA. The transcript is spliced from 2 exons. The record is from RefSeq. NCBI's taxonomy places the organism in Eukaryota, Viridiplantae, Streptophyta, Magnoliopsida, Brassicales, Brassicaceae.